UUGUCUCAAAGAUUAAGCCAUGCAUGUCUCAGUACAAGCCACAUUAAGGUGAAACCGCGAAAGGCUCAUUAAAUCAGUUAUGGUUCCUUAGAUCGUACCCACAUUUACUUGGAUAACUGUGGUAAUUCUAGAGCUAAUACAUGCAAACAGAGUUCCGACCGGAGACGGGAGGAAUGCUUUUAUUAGAUCAAAACCAAUCGGCGGCGGUUGCGUUCGCGCUGCCGUUCGCCGCUCAACCUGGUGACUCUGAAUAACUUUCGGCUGAUCGCACGGUCUAGCACCGGCGACGCAUCUUUCAAAUGUCUGCCUUAUCAACUGUCGAUGGUAGGUUCUGCGCCUACCAUGGUCGUAACGGGUAACGGGGAAUCAGGGUUCGAUUCCGGAGAGGGAGCCUGAGAAACGGCUACCACAUCCAAGGAAGGCAGCAGGCGCGCAAAUUACCCACUCCCGGCACGGGGAGGUAGUGACGAAAAAUAACGAUACGGGACUCAUCCGAGGCCCCGUAAUCGGAAUGAGUACACUUUAAAUCCUUUAACGAGGAUCAAUUGGAGGGCAAGUCUGGUGCCAGCAGCCGCGGUAAUUCCAGCUCCAAUAGCGUA
RNAcentral lists this ribosomal RNA (599 nucleotides) under Derovatellus lentus. Its description in RNAcentral is "SSU rRNA". It matches the Rfam family "Eukaryotic small subunit ribosomal RNA", at positions 32 to 601 of the family's 1831-position model. The record is from RNAcentral. Lineage: Eukaryota; Metazoa; Arthropoda; Insecta; Coleoptera; Dytiscidae. RNAcentral also lists the same sequence under 1 other name.